CGGCGUGGGAGCCAGAAGUCUGCCUAUAUCCGAGGGACUGGGAAUCGGUACUCCUGGGUCCCUAAGAGGCGUGACGCUUGGUUUGGUGUCUCCGUCACUACAGGAGGUCCGGAGGGGGUAACCGCUGGCCGCAUUCGGACCCUGAGCACAGCGACUGGGCGGGUUAAAUUCUGACCCUCUCGCGACCGGCCUAAGAGAAGAGUCGAGGCUUCGCCGAACUAGAGAAAGUCAGCUCGGACGCGGCGCUUAGAGAUCCGCCGCCAGGCCACCCCGUCGCCAACUAGUCUUCGCCCGCGUCACCACGGAUUGGUGUUCCACAGAGAAGGUAACCGAGGUUCAGCUGGGUAACGUGAGUCCCCGGGUCACACAAUCCGUUUGGGACCAAGCCAGGCUCCUCGGCGCCCAGGUCUGGGGUUUUUCCCCAUCACACCUGCUGCCUCUGAGCCAAAUACUGACAGUCAUCUGCAGAGAUCGGGAGGGAAAUCUAUAGUGAUGCAGUCAGGUUGGGUCAACCCUAGGAGGCUUACAGAGCACCCCGUCCUGGAGUCCCGAACCUGCAGUUCCGCUGCAAGUGGAGAGAUUGCGGGGCAUCCGGACAUUUGGUUGGCGGAAAUACCUCCUUAUCUUCCCUAACCUCGAACUAGCAUGGAGCAUUUCCAGGCACAAGAAAAAAUGUUUUAGGGGACAGCUGGGUGGCUCAGUGGAUGGAGAGCCAGGCCCAGAGAUGGGAGGUCCUGGAUUCAAAUCCGAUCUCAGACACUUCCCAGCUGUGUGACCCUGGGUAAGUCACUUAACCCUCAUUGCCUGGCCCUUACUGCUCUUCUGCCUUAGAACCAAUACACAGUAUGGAUUCUAAGACUGAAGGGUAGGGGGUACAAAAUGUGUACAAAAUAUUUCUAGCAGCUCUUUUUAUAGUGACAAAGAAUUGGAAUGUGAAAGAAUGCCCAUCAGUUGGGGCUUGGCUAAACAAGUAGUGAUAUACGAUUGUGAUGAAAUACAGUCGUGCUAUAAGAAAUACUGAGAAGAAUGUGUAGCAUCUUGGAAGUAUGAUUGGUGUAUUGAUAUUAUAUCUUAUGUGUUCAUAUACCAGAUUCCUGGUCAUGUUACUUAUUGAUUAUUGUGUUUCCAAAUCUUCAAUCCAAAGGACAAAAGAGUUCCUGAGCAGGAUAUUAUUUGGUGCAGGGUCCUAAAGCUCCCACCUUGUUAGACCACAUUCCUUACCAAGUCACAUGUUUGAUUAACCUCCUCCCCUUUGAUUACCUGAUUGUCAAUUGAGCCAAUGUCAAAGCCUAUGCCAUGUCCCAUGUUCAUUAGCUACCUCCCACUCCACUUUCCUAAACUCUCCAAUAAAAGUUUGAGGGCCCGUGUGGAGCUCUCUCUCAAUUCCAUCA
This is a non-coding RNA of Monodelphis domestica (gray short-tailed opossum), 1391 nucleotides long. The record is from RefSeq and is a predicted model, not a curated record. NCBI's taxonomy places the organism in Eukaryota, Metazoa, Chordata, Mammalia, Didelphimorphia, Didelphidae.